GACUGGCCAAUCGCGUUUUCCGAAAGGUAAUGAGGAAAGUCCGGGCUUCGCAGGGCAGGGUGCUGGAUAACGUCCAGGCUUUACAUUUGUAAAGACAGAUAGUGCAACAGAAAGUAUACCGCCGGUUUUCCGGUAAGGGUGAAAUAGUGCGGUAAGAGCGCACUAGUGGGCUGGUGACAGUUCACUCGGCAAACCUCACUCGAAGCAAGAUUAAACAGAGGAAGAAGCGGCCCGCUUCGUUAACUGCCUCGGGUAAAUCGCUAGAGGCUGGGAGUAAUCCUAGUCCAAGAUAGAUGAUUGGCACCUCUCAAAAAGAGGCACAGAACCCGGCUUAUAGGUCAUUC
Molecule: RNase P RNA, 344 nt
Filed under: bovine gut metagenome
Description: Bacterial RNase P class A
Rfam family: Bacterial RNase P class A
About the family: Ribonuclease P (RNase P) is a ubiquitous endoribonuclease, found in archaea, bacteria and eukarya as well as chloroplasts and mitochondria. Its best characterised activity is the generation of mature 5'-ends of tRNAs by cleaving the 5'-leader elements of precursor-tRNAs.
Source: RNAcentral